RNAcentral lists this ribosomal RNA (253 nucleotides) under uncultured bacterium. Its description in RNAcentral is "partial 16S ribosomal RNA". It matches the Rfam family "Bacterial small subunit ribosomal RNA", at positions 524 to 776 of the family's 1533-position model. The record is from RNAcentral.
UACGGAGGGGGCUAGCGUUGUUCGGAAUUACUGGGCGUAAAGCGCGCGUAGGCGGACCUGCAAGUCGGGGGUGAAAGCCCGAGGCUCAACCUCGGAACUGCCUUCGAUACUGCGGGUCUCGAGUCCGGGAGAGGUGAGUGGAAUUCCUAGUGUAGAGGUGAAAUUCGUGGAUAUCAGGAGGAACACCGAUGGCGAAGGCAGGUCUCUGGGCCGAUACUGACGCUGAGGAGCGAAAGCGUGGGGAGCGAACAGG